RNAcentral lists this ribosomal RNA (246 nucleotides) under Gomphales sp. 9 CRJH-2017. RNAcentral describes it as "partial 28S ribosomal RNA". It matches the Rfam family "Eukaryotic large subunit ribosomal RNA", at positions 104 to 344 of the family's 3401-position model. Lineage: Eukaryota; Fungi; Basidiomycota; Agaricomycetes; Gomphales. The record is from RNAcentral.
AGAGCUCAAAUUUUGAAUCUGGCGGUCUCCGGCCGUCCGAGUUGUAAUCUAGAGAAGCGUCAUCUGCGCCGGACCGUAUGUAAGUCCCCUGGAACGGGGCGUCAUAGAGGGUGAGAAUCCCGUCUUUAAUGCGGAUCCCGAUGCUGUACGUUGCGCUCUCAAAGAGUCGAGUUGUUUGGGAAUGCAGCUCAAAACGGGUGGUAAAUUCCAUCUAAAGCUAAAUAUUGGCGAGAGACCGAUAGCGAA